GAUGAACGCUGGCGGCGUGCCUAAUACAUGCGAGUCGAGCGAACGGACGAGAAGCUUGCUUCUCUGAUGUUAGCGGCGGACGGGUGAGUAACACGUGGAUAACCUACCCAUAAGACUGGGAUAACUUCGGGAAACCGUAGCUAAUACCGGAUAAUAUUUUGAACCGCAUGGUUCAAAAGUGAAAGACGGUCUUGCUGUCACUUAUAGAUGGAUCCGCGCUGCAUUAGCUAGUUGGUAAGGUAACGGCUUACCAAGGCAACGAUGCAUAGCCGACCUGAGAGGGUGAUCGGCCACACUGGAACUGAGACACGGUCCAGACUCCUACGGGAGGCAGCAGUAGGGAAUCUUCCGCAAUGGGCGAAAGCCUGACGGAGCAACGCCGCGUGAGUGAUGAAGGUCUUCGGAUCGUAAAACUCUGUUAUUAGGGAAGAACAUAUGUGUAAGUAACUGUGCACAUCUUGACGGUACCUAAUCAGAAAGCCACGGCUAACUACGUG
Molecule: ribosomal RNA, 497 nt
Filed under: uncultured bacterium
Lineage: Bacteria
Description: partial 16S ribosomal RNA
Rfam family: Bacterial small subunit ribosomal RNA
Source: RNAcentral